CAGCAGACCCUCCCAGCGCUGUGGAAGGAAGCGGAAAUAAACGUCGCAAACCGUAUGCUAGUAGCUCCAGACUCCGAGGACUGGGUGUAAGCGACAUCUCACACACAUCGUUCAUUGCCUCCAAAGAGGAAGCAGGGAGUGGAUAACUACGCGAAAGAGGUUUUUGUUUGUCACGGUGGCAGCAUCAAAACGGAAUAUCUCGGGUGGUACCUUACUGUGACCUUUAUGUGAGGUCCAAGCCCUAAAGGAGCGGGUCACAGACGGGAGGAGAGACUCGGAGGAAAGCAUCUGGCCACAGAAGCCGGGGAUACGCGUUUUUAUUUUUUAUUCAGCCCCCCCCCCUCCCCGAAACGCAACCACAGCGGUGCUCCAGCACGCGUCUUGCGACCAUGGAGGCCAUCGCCAAAUACGAUUUUAAAGCCACGGCUGACGAUGAGCUUAGUUUCAAGCGUGGGGAGGUCCUCAAGGUAAGUGAGAGCUAUCUGAGGAUUUAAUGUUAGGACUUGUCUGCAUUACUCAUUAUUAGGAAAUGCUGGGUAUUUUUUCCCCCUGCUGUAGGUUUACUUCAUGCGUAGUACUUCAUCCUCUGUAGGAUCAAAAUCUUAAUUUUGCCCAUGAGAUCAGUAUGUUCUCUUUCAUUUAUACCUAACAUGGUCAUACACUUACUUGCCAGAUGCAUCUGUCAGUGGAAUUCCUAGAAUCUAAAAUCCAAAGCACUACUGCAUACCGUCAUGUGACGGUACACAUGGUAAAUUGCAUGUGGCAGCAGAACAACACAGUUUCAGGCCCUAGAUGUUGUGGCUCAUUGUGUGAUUCUAAAGGAACAAUGCGUGUGUAAAAGGGCCCAUGAUUUAAAGAGGCAAAAGAUGCCCGUUUUUAGUUUUCUUUUUUUUUUUUUUUUUCUUUUUCUUUUCCCCAUUAUGGAGCGUCUCUAAAGUGCUCUCUGUUGAAAACCCCAGGCUAGUCCGGAUCCUCGGGCAGCAGAAGCUUAUUCAAAGCCUCAUGCUUUCUGGUUGCCUGAAAAGUGUUUUUUGUCAUUCUGGCCUUGAUGAGAUAGCCAAGAUAUUAGAAGGUACAAA
This is a long non-coding RNA of Anarrhichthys ocellatus (wolf-eel), 1079 nucleotides long. RefSeq lists it as uncharacterized. The record is from RefSeq and is a predicted model, not a curated record. NCBI's taxonomy places the organism in Eukaryota, Metazoa, Chordata, Actinopteri, Perciformes, Anarhichadidae. The transcript has 2 exons.